Molecule: long non-coding RNA, 253 nt
Filed under: Elaeis guineensis (African oil palm)
Lineage: Eukaryota; Viridiplantae; Streptophyta; Magnoliopsida; Arecales; Arecaceae
Description: long non-coding RNA (EGUI_LNC073122)
Source: RNAcentral
GUGAGUCGGGAGAUCUCCUCCUCGAGCCUAGCAUCACGGUCGAUCGACAACUUCAGUUGGUCCACCAGCGUUGCCUUCUCUGCCUCGGUAGUUUCGGCCCUAUUCUUCCAGGCCAUCCGGAUGUCGCCGAACCUCUGGUACCCGACCUCCAGCUCGAACAUAUUGUAGAUCAGCUGCAAAUAGAAGAUCGAUCGUCAGAAAAAUGAAAUGAUAAAAAUAAUAAUGAAAGAGGAAGAAGACGAAGGGCUCACCU